This 581-nucleotide ribosomal RNA is filed under the name uncultured bacterium. RNAcentral describes it as "bacterial SSU rRNA". It matches the Rfam family "Bacterial small subunit ribosomal RNA", at positions 57 to 684 of the family's 1533-position model. The record is from RNAcentral.
GCAAGUCGAGCGCAUCCUUCGGGAUGAGCGGCGGACGGGUGAGUAACGCGUGGGAAUAUGCCCUUCUCUAAGGAAUAGCCUCUGGAAACGGAGAGUAAUACCUUAUACGCCCUUCGGGGGAAAGAUUUAUCGGAGAAGGAUUAGCCCGCGUUAGAUUAGGUAGUUGGUGGGGUAAUGGCCUACCAAGCCUACGAUCUAUAGCUGGUUUGAGAGGAUGAUCAGCCACACUGGGACUGAGACACGGCCCAGACUCCUACGGGAGGCAGCAGUAGGGAAUCUUAGACAAUGGGGGAAACCCUGAUCUAGCCAUGCCGCGUGUGUGAUGAAGGCCUUAGGGUCGUAAAGCACUUUCGCCAGAGAUGAUAAUGACAGUAUCUGGUAAAGAAACCCCGGCUAACUCCGUGCCAGCAGCCGCGGUAAUACGGAGGGGGUUAGCGUUGUUCGGAAUUACUGGGCGUAAAGCGCACGUAGGCGGAUUAGUAAGUUAGAGGUGAAAUCCCAGGGCUCAACCCUGGAACUGCCUUUAAUACUGCUAGUCUUGAGUUCGAGAGAGGUAAGUGGAAUUCCAAGUGUAGAGGUGA